CCCUUAGAUGUUCUGGGCCGCACGCGUGCUACAAUGGCAAAAUCAACGAGUAUACCUUUGUCGACAGACAUGGGAAAUCUUUUCAGUUCUUGCCGUGAUGGGGCUAGACCCUUGUAAUUGUUGGUCUCCAACGAGGAAUUCCUAGUAAACGCAAGUCAUUAUCUUGCAUUGAAUACGUCCCUGCCCUUUGUACACACCGCCCGUCGCUCCUACCGAUUGAGUGGUCCGGUGAGGCUUUGGGAUCUGAGCGGAAAGAGCGUUUCGCUGUUUCUGCUCGGAAAACUCAGUCGAACCUUAUCAUUUAGAGGAAGGAGAAGUCGUAACA
RNAcentral lists this ribosomal RNA (325 nucleotides) under uncultured eukaryote. RNAcentral's name for it is "partial 18S ribosomal RNA". It matches the Rfam family "Eukaryotic small subunit ribosomal RNA", at positions 1470 to 1796 of the family's 1831-position model. The record is from RNAcentral.